AAAUGGGCUAUCCCGGGGUUGCCCAUUUGCCCCAUCUCACUACUCCAAUCAAACAAAAUACUAUUUUACCCACUAUCCUUCUUAUCCCACCUACUCCAACUAAAUACUGUUUUAUCUAUAUCUGACUAAACCCAAUUCUCAACCAAACACAAAAUUAUUCUAACCCCACCUUAACCCUGAACUUAACUCUAUCCCUGGAAUAAUAAGUUUUUACUUAACCCCGAACCAAACGGUGGCUUGAUGUUCGACCUGACGGAGUUCAGCACGGCAUCGCCGAUGUCUAUGGCG
This 288-nucleotide long non-coding RNA is filed under the name Ananas comosus (pineapple). RNAcentral's name for it is "long non-coding RNA (ACOM_LNC032538)". The record is from RNAcentral. Lineage: Eukaryota; Viridiplantae; Streptophyta; Magnoliopsida; Poales; Bromeliaceae.